Molecule: unclassified non-coding RNA, 1389 nt
Filed under: Hevea brasiliensis (rubber tree)
Lineage: Eukaryota; Viridiplantae; Streptophyta; Magnoliopsida; Malpighiales; Euphorbiaceae
Source: RNAcentral
CUCAUCCAAAUCCCUCUCUUGCUCUGCAGAAAGCCAGAAACAACUUCAUUUAUCACUCCAAAUUUAUUUAUUCACUGAAAUUCCUAAGGAAAGUUAAAUGAAGAGUGACAAAAUAAGGAUAUAUUGUUUGAAAUUAUUGUAACUUUUCCUUAUUAUUAAAUAGCUACACAAAAAGGGUUAGCUUCACCCAUUCUAACAGUAUUCAAAGUUGUACAAUUGGGCCAUCCCCUUAACCGUGUUUAGCAAAUGAGGUGCACACACGAUAAAACAUUGGAUACCUUUUUUGCUGUGCAUAUUAAACUUUUUUUUACUUCAUACCAAUGUUCCCCAAAAAAAAAAUAAUAAAUCUCGGUCCUAAAGAGAGGCCUUAACUGAAAUCUUAGACAAAAAUAUGAACGAACAGAAUCAAAAUAAAAUGAAAAAAUAAAAUAAAACAAGGCUAUGACUGGUAAUAAAUACAAAUAUGGUAGUUAUGAUAUGUCAUUGUAUCAAGCAGUGAAUUUUUGCACUUGAUUGACAAAAUAAACACAGAGAAAAGGGAAGAUAAAGAAAAGGAAAAUUGAAGCAGCACCCUACACCAAAAUUCAACUGGUGUUCCUAACAGCUAUAAAAUCAGUAUCCACAAGCAACUUUCCUUUAUGCCUUCUUCUAUUUUCUAUGAUUUAGAAUUCUAAAAUCCUUAUGAAUUUUACAUCACUGAACAACAGCCAUAAACAAUUCAAAUAUUCUUCCACUGUAAACAAGCAGAAUAUAAGAAACAAAAAACCAAGAGUAACAAAGUACUAUCGAUCACAACCAGUGCAACACAAGUGCUAAUAUAUAAAUGGAUAACUCCCAAUAACAACCAUAAACAAUUCAAGCGCUAACGAGUGCUAAUGUUGCCAAUUCCAUCGCCCAAAAUCAGAUUUCAUAUUUAUGCAAGCAAUGCAUGACUAUUGGCAUCUUCCACCAUGAUAAAGUCAAGUAACUAUUCCGAGAUAUUUUACAUUACAUUCAGAUCCCAUAAAUAAUUUGGUUCUACUCCAUGUAAGUCUUCACUUAGACAUAUACAAUGAAGGGGGUGAAAUAAAAAAUAAAUAAAUAACAUUUAAAUAAGAAUCAAGUGAAUAAGUUAAGAGGCACCUGCCAAACAUAGUGUAUUUUGUUAAUGACCAAAGGUUCAAUUUAGAGAUAUAGAGAACACAAAGCAACAAGAGAAUCAGAGUCAUCUGCAAACUCAAGCGAAAGAGACAAUUAGGACAAGCCAGUUCUAUGUAAAACCAAAAUUUUCAGAGCUAAUUUUCACUGAGAAGUGGAAAGUAUCAAAGUUAUCCAACAAGUUCCACAGAUAGAAUGUUUAACACGUAAAUUUAACACCUUUUACACUUAAAACUUGCAGGUAAAUGAUCA